CAACUGCUCGGUCAUAGCAUAUUCACCCUCUGUUGGAAUCCCUGUAACCUGAAAACAAUGUAAGUCUCUGUUUUGUCAGAUACCAGGCUCGGGGCUGUGGAGGGUCCCUUGCUUCAGCAUAGGGUAUCAGGAACUAGAGAAGGCACCUAUGUCUCUAUACUCACCUCAUUCACUUUCCCUCAACCAUUUCUUCUCCCAUAUCUGCUAAGGUGCCUUCAGGCAGGGGUGGCACAGGCAGGGGUGACACAAAGGCAGCCUAACAGCCUGAUGACACUUAUUUAGUGGCACAGGGUCCUCCAUGAAUUUCCACAGGCAAAGACCCUGGAGUGUCCCAUCCCACAACCCUGAGACCUGUGAAAAUGCACGGUGAAAGCUCAGGAUCGUAUAGCUCUCAGUGUCUCAGGGAGGUCCUCGAGGAUGACACAGCCCCAGAAAAGGAGACUCUGUGCGGGAAGGGUCUGCCGGCAAAGGCAUCUGUACUCCAGCUACCUUCAAAUGUCAUGCUGUCUAGGCUGAGGAGGUGGUUCAGGUUAAAUAUCCGAGGGAGAGGCUGCUGCUUCUCCCUAUAGGUCUGGGAAGCAGAAAGAUGAGCAACAUCCUGCAUUGGUACGACACAGAAAAAACUCUGAGCAACCUGCAAAUCUCAAUUGUCACCACACAGUUCCAGUCCAGUCUGCCCUCCUUCUGCCAGAGCCCAAGUUACUUGUCUGUUUUGACAACCAAACUCUGACUCCAACCUUCAGUGACUCCUGUCGAUAUUUCCCCCAUGGAACCCCAAAUACAACAGAGGAUGAAAGCUAUGGAGCCCUGACUAUGCAUACCACACAAGAAACCCCACGUGAAAGGACUGUUGCAACUUCCUGUCUUGCGCAUGAUGACGCUACUUUCUUGGUCCUAUGAGUCACCCCUUGUCACUGGGGCUCAGAAUUCAGCAAAGGAUUCCUUGUCUGGGUCGGGGACGAGGUUGAACAUCUCAUCAUGGAGAUAGUUCUGUGGAGAUGAUCUCUCAUACAGAUGAAUGUUGUAGACAACUAAAGCUAACCAGAUGCUGACAAGCAUCCUUUGCCUAUCAGAGCCAGUUGUCAAGAGGAGCGCCCAAGAUAACCUUAAAGAACACAUUCAGCCAGGGAAAUUUCUACAAAUAUUGCGCAUUUACAAGAAGUGGAAAAAUCAAUAAUGCUCUAGAAGAAUUGUUUACCCAGCCAAGGAGCCAAACAAAGAAGGUGGAGAAGUUUCUGAAAAAGGAAAGCUCUAAGUCUCCAGUAAAUGUAACAAGGAUUUUCUCCUUUUCAUUUCUGCCUUUGUCUGUUUCAUUGCAGUCAUAGGGAUAGGACUCUUGUCUAUACACCAGACACCAUAGGAUGUGCUUACAACAAUUGUCUUCUUUAAUUUAAUUCUCAUGGCAGUAUUAUGGUGUCAUGACCCUUAAUCUUCCCAUUUGACAAAUGAGGAAGAGAAACUCUCCAGAGGUGAAGAGAUGGGGUCUGAUCCCAAAGCCAGCAAGUGGCAAAGUUGAGGUUUCAGUUUCAGUUGCUAGAGGCAGAGUCUCAGGGGUUCUCAGCUCCUCAGCCUCCUGUGUGGUAUUUACUCAUACCUCCUGGUAUGCACUGUUCUGGGAGUUUUCAAGGUAUUGAUUUAUUUAAUCCCCAUAAAGCCUCAUGAGAUGCAAACUGGCACUUCCCACCUUGUUACAGUUGAAGAAACAGUCACCAAUUGUUUGUGCCACACAAUAUCAACAGAGUGGUUCAGUAGCUUGUCUAAGGUCACACAGGUAGUAAGUGUGAGAGUGGAAUUUGAACCCAGGUUAGAUGUUCUAUUCCUUUAAUGAAGAACAGUUGGAAAAUUGACAAGCUGCCCCACUGGGAGAAGUGUGUCCCAGUGUGAUUUUGCACACCUGGCAUACAUGUACCCCAGGUGGGUUGUUGCAGCAGCUCAGACCUCGGUACAACAGAAUUACUUUCAGAAAUAAUCAUGUCAUA
This is a long non-coding RNA of Molossus molossus (Pallas's mastiff bat), 1979 nucleotides long. RefSeq lists it as uncharacterized. NCBI's taxonomy places the organism in Eukaryota, Metazoa, Chordata, Mammalia, Chiroptera, Molossidae. The record is from RefSeq and is a predicted model, not a curated record. The transcript has 5 exons.